CCUACGGGAGGCAGCAGUGGGGGAUAUUGCACAAUGGGGGGAACCCUGAUGCAGCGACGCCGCGUGAGAGAAGAAGUACCUCGGUAUGUAAAGCUCUAUCAGCAGGGAAGAAAAUGACGGUACCUGACUAAGAAGCCCCGGCUAAAUACGUGCCAGCAGCCGCGGUAAUACGUAUGGGGCAAGCGUUAUCCGGAAUUACUGGGUGUAAAGGGAGCGGAGACGGUAAUGCAAGUCUGGAGUGAAAGGCGGGGGCCCAACCCCCGGACUGCUCUGGAAACUGUGUAACUGGAGUGCAGGAGAGGCAGGCGGAAUUCCUAGUGUCGCGGUGAAAUGCCUAGAUAUUCGGAGGAACACCAGUGGCGAAGGCGGCCUGCUGGACUGUAACUGACGUUGAGGCUCGAAAGCGUG
RNAcentral lists this ribosomal RNA (408 nucleotides) under uncultured bacterium. RNAcentral describes it as "partial 16S ribosomal RNA". It matches the Rfam family "Bacterial small subunit ribosomal RNA", at positions 338 to 763 of the family's 1533-position model. The record is from RNAcentral.